CCAUUUUAGGUAAAUUUGUCCCUGAGAUCAGUGUAUGUGAAAUCUCAAGUAAAGCCUUAAACAUGUGCUUGAGACACUGGUGUUUCACAGACUUCAAAGGCAACAGAUGUGACAAUCCAGGGUGAAUGAGGAUGGCUCAAGUGGGCUAGAGCUGUGUAUUCCCCCUCUCCUAUGUGGAAGGCUACAGCUGACUAGAGUUGGGUAUUUCCCUUCUCCCAGGUGAGCUAGGCUCUGCUAAUAUCGCAGCCAGUUAGACUCCGGUUAAUUAAUUUCUCCUGAGCGCUGGCCUUGUUAAGUAGAACAGCCUGCUCUCUGGCGUAUUUCAAAAUGGUUCCUCUUCCCUUCCUGCUGCUGACAGCACAAGGGGAUUUUUCUCUGACACUUACUGUGAGAAUCCAGUUGAGCUCCUGGAGGUAAAACUCACUAGAGUGUGGGAGCCCCACUAUGACUGGGCUCCCCUGGAGUUUUUAACCGUCAGGAUUGUCCACACUGAGCCUCCAGCAAUUAGACAAUUCCAGUUCAGGUUUUCCUGCUCCGGCACUGGUUCCCUUGCCAGUUUCUGCCCGCCAGACUCUGCUCAGAAACACAGACAAGAACUACGGAGGAGGGACUUUCCUGGUGGCACAGUGGUUAAGAAUCCGCCAGCCAAUGCAGGGUACACGGGUUUGAGCCCUGGUCCGGAAAGAUCCCACAUGCCGUGGAGCAACUAAGCCCGUGUGCCACAACUACUGAGCCUGCAUUCUAGAGCCCGUGAGCGACAGCUACUGAGCCCUCAUGCUUCAACUACUGAAGCCCGUGUGCCUAGAGUCUGUGCUCCACAACAAGAGAAGCCACUGCAAUGAGAAGCCCGCUCAUCACAAUGAAGAGCAGCCCCCACUCGCCGCAUCUAGAGAAAGCCUGCACACAGCAACAAAGACUGGACACGGCCAAAAAUUUUUAAAAAUUAAUUAAAAAAAUGAUUCUGGUUCAAAAGAAAAAUGCAUAUACAAAGCUUAAAAAGAAAAUGACGAAGGAGCUGUUUUCCAAACCUCAUGCACAGAGAAGAGAAUCUGUAUGAAGCAAGGGAUGGAUGGGAGGUGUCUUGCUUACAUCUCUAUUCAAGGAAGACUUCUGCAGGAAGGAUAGCUGGUUGACAGCCUCCAGCUUCCCCAAGAUUGGCCAAUGUGUUCUUGCCAGACUGCUUCCCCAGUGACUAAGCACUAUGACGUACUAGAAUCACUAUAUUCCUGCCCACCCCUAGAUUCCUAGAAUCCCUGUAAUGGUAGACUUUGCUUAGGGAGUCUGAUUACCUAGUCAGUUAGCUAGCAUCCUCUCUCUCUCUUUCAGAUAUAUAUAUAAUCGCUAUUGGGAUCAUGGGUAAAUUUUUGUUUCUUUCACCCUGCUUUGCUUAUGUGUAUAUUAUUUUUUUUUCUGCAAAUACAUGUGCUACUUCAAGGACUUAUAAUAUUGUUGGAAAUCAUCAAGAAUAACACAUUUUGUGAUCUGUUUGAAAGGAAUAAAUGAUUUCACCCACCUACAUUUACUGACUACUCAUGAAAUGCAAAGCUUCACCUUACUUUACCCUAUCAUCAGAAAAAUGAUUCCAGUUUUCGUACAAAAGGAUACUUCCAAGUAUCCUUUCUGCAAGAUUGUAGAAAAGCAACCUCAUGUAUAUUACAUGAUAGCUUUUACAUGAAUUACUGCUGCUGCAAAUCAGUGGGCAGUGUAUGUGGACAAAUACUCAAUGUUUUCAUGUUUUUUUAAGUAUAGGUUGCACUUUUGCAUUUCAUGGUGCCUUUUAGAAUUAACUAUAUCUUUUUUUUCUUUAAUGUCGUGAACUAUGUUUUGAAAUAUUCAAACACAUGAGAAAAAGGCUUAUUGAAGUAAAUAUUCUGCAAUUAGUAUUUCUCAUGCCACUUAUACCAUGAUUACAUGAAAUGUAAAAUCACUGCUUUUGAGUAUUAGGAAAAAAAUAGAAGGAAUCAUAAUUAUGGGCAAGUUUUAUUAGGAAAUGUUUAGGUUAACUCUGAAAUUCAAGUAUAAAUAAGAUUUUUUUAAAUCUCAGUUUAUAGUUAUCACAAGUAUGUGUGAUAAGUUAAGUUUUGCUAACCAGUAAAUUGGGGUGGUCCUUGAAUCUUCCUUUGGCAGUUCCUCCCCUUCAUUUCAAAUCAAUCAGAAAGUCUUACAGACUCUACGUCCUAAACCUUUCUUGAAGCCCUCUCCUCCACCCUAUUUCUGCUGGCAUUGGGCUCAUGCUCAUUUUUUCUUCAUUUGAGUGCUCACAUUCUGGCCUCCCUUCUGACUCUCCACAUUGUUGCCAGUGUGAUUGUUCUGAAAUGGAAAUAUGGUCAUUCCUCUGCAAUUCACAUCUGUCAUUGAGUUCCCAGAGCCUAGCUUGAAGUCAAAUACUUGUUGGCAAUAUAUUUGAGAACUUUUUUGAUCUUACUCCUGCUUGCUUCUCAGACUCAUCCCUGUCUGCCUACAAAACCUCUCUGCUCUGGCUCUGAACUCCCUGUCAUCAUUCAAAAGUUCCAUGAGUUUUCACAGCCCUGCAAGUUGCAUCUUCCGUUGCCACUGCCUGGAAUAUAUUCCCCUCAGCCCAAUCCUGAAAAAUAGAACUCAUUUCUCUUUUUUCGCCUAUAUUUUUUCUUCAGUUCAUGAUUAACAUUGUCAUUUUAAAAAACCUCAAUGCAAAGAAUUUAAUUUGCACACCAUAAAAUAAUUUAAUAUUUCUGUAUAAAAUAUUCUUUUAUUUCCCAUUUCAGAAUAACUAAACCAUAAUAUCACAUGACAGUUUUUCUCAGCUGAUUUCACCGAUUUUCCCCCAGCAGAUAAACAACUUACCUUGAGUUAAGCACUUCCUCCUCUGCCCUUUGUUGCAUGCCGAAUAAAGCUCUGAUAAACAUCUUCAGGUAUUGCAUGUGGCAAACAUUCUAACAUGUCCAGGAAAUUCUUAAAGCCAGAGACUCUCUUUGUUCGUUUCCAUUCCCUAAAUGUCUUGGAUACUUGCUACAUGGCAAGUACUCAUGUAAUAUUUGUUUAGAGAAUGAACGAUAGCAAAUAAUUGAGAAUAAAACUUGAUUUUUUAGUGUUAUUUUGAAAUUUUUUUAUCAAAAUGAGAGAACAUAACUAUUCAGUUAUACAUUUAUCCUUGGUCAUGUUCUUGCUUAAAUCGUGUAACUAUUAACAUACAGUUCACUCCAACAGCAUUUUUAUGUUCCUACGUAUUAGGUAUUUUGUUGUUUGCUUGGGAAACUCAGAUAAAUACAACACUGACUCUUUAUUCAAUGUUUUCUUAUUAUAAGUGAGUGAUGAAAUAAUAGUUGGUACUAUUCACUGUACUCUGUGCCACCUACUAUUUAAUCACCUAAUAAGAUACUUCGAGGUGAAAUUUAAUCAUCAGCAGUCUUAUUUUGUAUAUGUGUGUAAAAUAAUUUAAAUGCAUUCAAAAUAUGCAUUGUGUUGUGGCAAUAUAGGUAAAUUUAUGUAUAAAAAGCAUUGGAUAUAAUGGUUAUUCAAUUAAUAUUUUGGAUUGGUUGAAUAUAUCACUAAUAUGAAUGAGUAAUUCAUACUAAUAUAAUCCUUUCAUUUCAGCUGAGCUCUCUAUAUUUUCUUCUGUUUUGAAGAGAAUGGCACUUCAGUAUAAUCACAAAAAGAGUGAAUAGAUGGGAUUGCAUAGUCUCAAUCAACCUACUUUUUCCAUGCAAAAAAUUUAAAAACACAUAAUUAUAAAUUUCCUAUAUUUCACAGUAAACAUUAUUGUUCAAAUCUUAGAGUUACAACAAUAUAAAAUGUUAGUAAAAUCAAUGUUUUGUUGAAAUUAUAGUAAUUCAUGUAAGAUUUUUUAGAAACUGACACUAGUGAAAACUCUGAAGUAGUGUAGUUUUUUGGCAUUUAUUUUUCAAACUUCCAAUUGGAAACUCAAUCACAAAGGACCAUCCACAGAGCCACACACUAUCUACCCUGAUUGCAUCUCAUGAUCCUUACUUCCCUGCCUCCACUAAAACACUGAGUUCUGAGUAGUAAUUUUUCAGGGUUUUGAUCUCUGAUCUGUGCCUUAUAAUUUGAUGAAAGUAAUUUUUGAAAGGUUAAUAUGUCAGGACAUUUUUUGCAAAUGUCCUAAACAGGUUCUCUUGUAUUACUAUGAUUAUUAGUUUCAUAAUGCUGCCAUAACAAAUUGCCACAAAUUCAGAGACUUAACACAGGCAUUAUCUCACAGUGCCUUCACAGUCUGAAGUCUAGCUUCCUUGGGUCUCAGAAGGCUAAAAUCAAGGUGUCUACAUGGCUGUGUUCCUUUCUUGAUGCUUUAAGGCAGAAUCCACAUCCUGGCUUGUAUGAGUGAUUGGUAGGAUUCACUUCCUUGUGGUUGUAGGGCUAAGGCCCCUGUUUUCUUGCUGGUAUUGCCGGUUGGCUAGACAUCAGGGAUCUUUCUCAGCUUCUAGAGGCUGCUAGCCUUCCUUGACUCCUGGCCCCAUUCCUCUAUCUUCAAACUAACAAGAGUGGGUCAAGUCCCUUUCAUGCCUCAAGUCACUCAAGCUUCAUCUCUUUGACUGAUGAUUCUGUCUUCCUCUUUAGCUUUUAAGGGCUCAUAUGAUUACAUUAGGUCCACUCAGGUAAUCCAGGAUAACCUUCCUAAUAUAAAGGAAUUGAUUAGUAACCUUAAUUCCAUGUGAAAGACUCUUCUCAGCAGUACCUGUAUCAGUGCUUUACUGAACAGCUAGGAAACAAAAAAUCUUGGGGAGAUAUUUUUACAAUUCUGUCAACCACUUCAUGUAAUGAUUUUUUUUUCUUCUGGAAAGCAUAUUGAAUAAGUUAACUAAGUAAAUAGUGAGAACUUUUUUAGCACUUUAUCCUAUGAUGGUUUUCUUUUUCAAAGAAAGAGUACAAACAAGGGAGAAAAACAUAAAAGAACAUUCUUCAUUCUGAGUCUCUCUCUCUCUCUCUCUCUCAUUCUCUCUCAUCCUCCUCUUCUCUCUUAGUUGUUUUGUUGCUGUUAUAAGUUUUUCUUAAACAUGCAGCUUCUGACCAAUGCCAUUGAAGGCCCAGGUACAUUCUAUCUUCCUGCUUCGCCAUUUUUAGCAUGUGGAUUCCAUUCUCCCAUUCAUAGUAUGGUUGAUAAUCUUCUAACAACCUGCCAUUAUUCCAAGCAUAAAGAAGAAGGGUGGAAAAAACAUAAAGUGCCUAAGGGCAAAAGCAUAACUGCCUGCCUAUGGAGCCUCACCAUUCUUCAAAACAUUCCCCAAAGCUCAACUCAGUGACUUGUUUCCAUCUAAUUGUUGGAACCAUGCUACAUUGCUUUCCUUAGAUGAAAGAAGACUAGGAAAACAGUGGGGCUGAAUAGAUUGGGUUGAUGAACACCAUUGUAUCUGACACACUAUCAUCAGACAGAGGAUAGUAUGGUUUAUAUUUGAAUAUUUCUUGUCUAACAUUGAACAGAGAAAAUAAGGAAAUUUGUGCUCAUCUGACCGAACUGUGCCUUGGUGUCCUGAAAUUAAUUUUAUGUGGAUUGAAGAAAUCAAUAAUCACUAAAUUUCAGAAUGGAAUUUCAAUUUUCAUUUAGUAAAUCCUAAACCAUAUGUAAUAUUUGUUUAAAUUGUUAAUCUUUCUCAAAAAAUAUUGAAGUUUUUAAUGUUAACUUUAUGGGAUUAAGCCAAAGACAUCAAGAGUGUUAGAAAUUCCAUGCCCUAUAUAUUGUGAAGUGUGGAAUGGUAUGAAUAUAUGAUCUUUUGUCUUAUCACAAAUUAUAAUAAGCUUUUAACUUGACUAUCUGUUAAGUUCUGUAGCUUUUCUAAAAUUAGGAUUAAGUUAAAUUUGAGCUCAUAUAUUCUAAUCCAUGUAAAAUUUACAUAUCUGAUUUUGUGACUUUUUGUGACUAUCCUUCAAAUCAGCAUUUAUAUAGCAGAGCCUAUCUACCAGAAACAACAAAAUUUAAGGCAUGUUAUUUUGUACUUUCAGUGAUCUUAGUCCUUGCACUUAAAAAAACUCCCUAUCAAUAUACGUUAAUGGGAAGACUUUGUAAUGUAACAAAAAAAUCAACAAUGUGUUUUUACUUCACUGUUUGUUCUCUUGUCUGGGUGGCAUAGUGUAGAUGAUGGGUAAUAAAAAAAAUGAGAUUCAAAGCAAUUAUUUUCCAAACUGCUGGCAUUGAAAAAAUUGUAGUCAUUUGGAAACAUUUAGGGCUCUGAACCAAAUGAGCUUACUAUUAUAUAAAAUGCAAGAAUCAAAAUACAUAACAGUAAUCCCUGAAUGUCAAGGGCAAAUCACUUAGCUAUAAUAAUUUUAAGUCCUUGAGCAUUUAUUAUAAAGCAUACUGACAAUGUGAAUAUACACCUGGCUAUAUAUCUCCCAAUAACACAUUGAUUUUCAGCUAUUUCAAUAAUGGUAUAGAUCUCAGCAUAGGACUGUUCUAUGAUAGAAGCAAUCAUUCUAAGUAAGGUAUGUAUUUAAGGUUAUGUCAAGUUGUGAGAAACUUACUAAGUACUUCUGUUUAAAAAUUUCCCUGUUUAAUAUGUUAAAACUUUGUUUACAAUA
This is a long non-coding RNA of Orcinus orca (killer whale), 6510 nucleotides long. RefSeq lists it as uncharacterized. Lineage: Eukaryota; Metazoa; Chordata; Mammalia; Artiodactyla; Delphinidae. The record is from RefSeq and is a predicted model, not a curated record. The transcript is spliced from 3 exons.